CCAAGGAGUUCAGCGUGUACGCGAGUCAUUGGGUGGUAAAACCCAAAGGCGUAAUGAAAGUGAAGGGAACUUCGCGUUUCUGAGGGAGGAUGAGUCGGUCACCCGCAAGGGGCCACUCCGCACUCCCGGGGCGUCUCUUUCUCAUUGCGAGUGGAGGCGCACCCAGAGCGUACACGCUGAUACCCGAAAGAUGGUGAACUAUGCCUGGCCAGGACGAAGCCAGGGGAAACCCUGGUGGAGGUCCGCAGCGAUUCUGACGUGCAAAUCGAUCGUCGGAGCUGGGUAUAGGGGCGAAAGACCAAUCGAACCAUCUAGUAGCUGGUUCCCUCCGAAGUUUCCCUCAGGAUAGCUUGCGCUCACGUGAACGAGUCUCAUCCGGUAGAGCGAAUGAUUAGAGGCCUUGGGGUCGAAACGACCUCAACCUAUUCUCAAACUCCAAAUAGAUGAGAACUCCGGCUUUCUUGAACUCUGUUUUUUGAAGCCGGGGGCUCGGAUCAGAGUGCCAAGUGGGCCAAUUUU
Molecule: ribosomal RNA, 519 nt
Filed under: Teleorhinus sp. WCW-2003d
Lineage: Eukaryota; Metazoa; Arthropoda; Insecta; Hemiptera; Miridae
Description: eukaryotic LSU rRNA
Rfam family: Eukaryotic large subunit ribosomal RNA
Source: RNAcentral